This 441-nucleotide ribosomal RNA is filed under the name uncultured bacterium. RNAcentral describes it as "bacterial SSU rRNA". It matches the Rfam family "Bacterial small subunit ribosomal RNA", at positions 338 to 795 of the family's 1533-position model. The record is from RNAcentral.
CCUACGGGGGGCAGCAGUGGGGAAUAUUGCGCAAUGGGGGAAACCCUGACGCAGCAACGCCGCGUGAUUGAAGAAGGCCUUCGGGUUGUAAAGAUCUUUAAUCAGGGACGAAAAUUGACGGUACCUGAAGAAUAAGCUCCGGCUAACUACGUGCCAGCAGCCGCGGUAAUACGUAGGGAGCAAGCGUUAUCCGGAUUUACUGGGUGUAAAGGGCGCGCAGGCGGGCCGGCAAGUUGGAAGUGAAAUCCCGGGGCUUAACUCCGGAACUGCUUUCAAAACUGCUGGUCUUGAGUGAUGGAGAGGCAGGCGGAAUUCCGUGUGUAGCGGUUAAAUGCGUAGAUAUACGGAGGAACACCAGUGGCGAAGGCGGCCUGCUGGACAUUAACUGACGCUGAGGCGCGAAAGCGUGGGGAGCAAACAGGAUUAGAUACCCCUGUAGUC